RNAcentral lists this small nuclear RNA (107 nucleotides) under Erinaceus europaeus (western European hedgehog). The record is from RNAcentral. Lineage: Eukaryota; Metazoa; Chordata; Mammalia; Eulipotyphla; Erinaceidae.
GUGCUCACUCUGGCAGCACAUAUACUAAAAUUGGAACGAUACAGAGAAGAUUAGCAUGGCCCCUGCUCAAGGAUGACACGCAAAUUCAUGAAGCGUUCCACAUUUAA